This 205-nucleotide unclassified non-coding RNA is filed under the name Hevea brasiliensis (rubber tree). The record is from RNAcentral. Lineage: Eukaryota; Viridiplantae; Streptophyta; Magnoliopsida; Malpighiales; Euphorbiaceae.
UAGUCUUUGCAAACCUCCAAGUUGCUGUGGUAUCUCAUUUAUGAACAAAUUGUGACUGAGAUCAAGGCUUUCCAGAAAGCGCAAAUUGCUUAUCUCUGAAGGAAUGCUCUCUGUAAACUUGUUCUUGCUAAGGUUCAAGAACAAAAGUUUUGAGCACUUCCCGAUCUCCUUUGAAAUUGCACCGCUUAGAUUGUUUGCUGCCAUG